GUAUUUGCUUCACCAGCACUUAUACUAAAAUUGGAACAAUAUAGAGAAGAUUAGAAUAGCCCCUGCACAACAUUUCACCCAACAGCUAUAGAAUAUACAAUCUUUU
Molecule: small nuclear RNA, 106 nt
Filed under: Propithecus coquereli (Coquerel's sifaka)
Lineage: Eukaryota; Metazoa; Chordata; Mammalia; Primates; Indriidae
Source: RNAcentral